This 7469-nucleotide long non-coding RNA is filed under the name Lactuca sativa (garden lettuce). RNAcentral's name for it is "long non-coding RNA (LSAT_LNC006354)". Lineage: Eukaryota; Viridiplantae; Streptophyta; Magnoliopsida; Asterales; Asteraceae. The record is from RNAcentral.
UGGAAACGUGUGAUGUCUUAAAUAAGACAAAGACCAACUUGGACCAAUUUAUGAAGUGUUUUGAUAAAAGCUACACUAACUCUUGAAUAUUUGUUUGUCAAGAAAUGGUUAUUGACAAAAGAAUCUUAUAUGUCAAGGAGUCAGUGGGAGUCUUAAUGGUCUUGAAAGGUUUCAAGAACAAAUCAAAUAAACCUUAUCAAUCAUCGCUGGCACACGAGUUGAGGUUUACAACCUAUCGUGUUGACAUUAUUUUGUUUCUGUGCUAUUUCAAUUGAGUUAAUUAUGCAUGUGAGUUCUAUGAGUUCUCAUUUUGAACGCAUAAAUGGCAAAGCACCUUAAUCGAUGAAAGGUACAUUGAUAGGAAAGGGUGAGCUGCUUAACUACUUGGAAGACAUGGUGGGCAGCUGUGCUACCAUAAGGUAAGAAAUCAAGACUAAGAAAGUUCGGUCCAUAUGAGUUUGAAUUUGUUGUAAACUUUGGUUUCAACAAAUUCACAUGGAUAAGAACACAUACACUGUUUAAAAUCUAAGUGUCAUAAGAUUUCCUCCUUCAUGAAAAUGAUUGUGAGGAAAUGCUUUCACUAAGAAAGAUUUUAAGAAGAUAGUGAUUGUAAAAUUGCAUUCUCGAAUUCAAUUAUGGUUACGGUAUCCCUUUCCAUAAUUUGAAUUGUGAGGUUUGGCAAUUAGUCUUAAUUGUUUAGACACACAUAUGAACUAUCGAAGGCAAAGGUGUAUAAGUUCAAGAAGCCUUGAUAAAGGAUUAUCAAAGCACUAAGUAUUAGAAACAUGAACUUAAGAAAUUCAAUAAGUAUUGUCUUUCUGGAAGUUGAGAUGUUUAUGAAUACAUGUCGAAGCUAGUGGGAGCAUAAGUGUUAUGUUUUAUAAUAAUCAUCAUGAUAGUGGGAGCAUAAAUGUUAUGAUUGUAUGAUUAUUAAGGCACGUAUUGCAAGGUUGGCAAUAUUAAUUAUAGAAAACAAGAGUUAUACCUUGCAAAGUAGUAAGGGUUAUAAAGUUGUUUUGCUAUAAUUAAGGGAGAGAAUAUUAUGCUUCAUUUCAAAUCUAAAGGCUUAGGUUGAGAAAUGUUAAUAAAUUUAGUCAAAGGUACAUAGUGUGUUCUUAAAAUUUCGAUUAUGAUUACGGCAUUCCUCUUCACAAUUCGAAUUUUGAGAACAUAGCAAAUAAAACAUUAUGCGUCGUGUCCCAUACGCUUCGGGUAUAGGAUCGAUUGCAAAUGCUUUAAUGUUUGACCAUUCUAAAAUUUUCCAAAUGUCGAGCGCAUUUAGAGGGAAAAGGGACUAGAAUCGGUUUUGACUAAAAUAAUUAAACAACUAUCAAAGGACAAUCCAAAGUUCGACGAGGAUUGGUCGCUUGUGAGUAGUUGGAAGUAUAGUAUUGGAAAAUAUGGAAAUGUUUCCAUAUUGGAUGGACCAUAUCGACAUCAUUACGAAUAGAUAAGAUUCUAUUAAGAAUGAGUUGUCAUAUGGAACAUAUGGAAGUGUGUCCAUAUUGGGAAUUGAAUAUUGAGAAAUCUAUGACUAGAUUAGAAACUUCUAUGCAAAAGGAUGUUCAAAGAAUGUACUUUGAGUGAGAGACAUCACGUCUAUGGAAUUGUCUUGUAACAAUCUCCGAUAGAGGACUUUGUAAUAUCAUUGGCAAUAGUCUUUGUGACUUUGGUGCAGUGACAUUACGAAAGGAUAGUUGCAUAGAAUGUUAGAAUCUAGCAUAUUCUAUAAGUAGCAAGAAUUUGAUAUUCUUUGACUUAUGAAAAACGGAUUUGGAGUUGUGAAAUGAGAAGGAUUGGAAAUGUGUUCAAUGUGAUCUAUUUCACAAAGUAAGAACCAUAGGUAAACAUUGUGUGCAUGCUAGGAGCAUGGGACAAGUGUUGGAAUUCAAGUAAGAAGUUGAUUACCCGAAACGACAAAUAAUGAGUAAUCAAUAUGGUGAUAAAUAAAAGGUGUUUUAUUUAUACUCAAAGGUUUGAGGCCAUAUGGGAUUAGUAUUAUUCUUGUGUUUCACAUUUGCAUGUUUUGACUUCCAGAAUAAUUGAGUUUAUUAAGAAUAAUCGAAUUAUUCAAACGGGCCACAGUCGUUCAUAUGUUGGAAGUAGAUAUGAAUGAAGACUGUCGUGAAUUGGUGUGUGGAUUGUCUAAAAGAGUAUUAGACAUAAGCAAAUGUUUGCUGCAACGUUCAUGAGUGCUUAUGAAUGUGAUUUGAGCAUUGGAUUAAACCCACGCUCACUUGGAUCACUCCAUGAAUUGUAUCACGAGUGAUUGGUGAGACGAUAACAUCUUAUAUUCUUGAAACCGAGAUGUGUGAGUUGUAUCUUGCAAAUCGGUUGCACAUUGAUAAUAUGUAAACGCACUAGUAACUUGGUGUUAUAAAACAUAUUGUUGUGUGUGAUUCGGUGAGUGAGUGCAAGCAAGCAUUGUAUCAAAGUUUAUCCGUUCCUUUUAUCCAAAGUAGGAUAAAAGCGAUAUCUUUGGGCCCCUCGAUGGUUUAGUGAUGACAAACGUAAAUGCUCGGCCGGGCUAGGGCUAAUUUGAUUUGUUCAAUUAGUCAGUCGUCAUAAAUCGGAAAUCGAGAUAUAGUACAAAGAGAAUGAUUUGAAAUCAUAUCUCAUAUGAUAUCUAGAAUGGAGGAAUAUAUGAUCCCUUAUCUAAGGACACGCGUAUCUGAUAUGAUCAGAGUUGACAGCGGCUUUGGAAAGCUACGAUUGCAGAUCGGGAUCCGAAGUCAUACGCAGAAUAGUUGUUAGACUUAUCCAAGUGGGAGACUGUUGGAUUAGUGUCUAAGUCCAUAACUAUUUUGGUAUGUACUUGACCCGAUGGUGCAUGGUCCUUUUGGGUUGCCUUCACCAAAGCAACUUGAUUGGAGAAAUAAAUAGAGAGAGAGGUUAUUAUGAUUUAUUAAUAUGUUAUAAGAAUAAUAUAUUAAAGGAGAAAUCAUAUUUGUUUAAUUAAUAUUGGUCAAUAAUUAAUUAAGAAUUAAUUUUGUGAUCAAGUGUAAUUAAUUAAACUAGAGGGGCUGAAUUGUAAUUAUGUGAUAGUUACAAAAUAAGGUAAGGAUUAUCUUAUAUAUAUGGUGAACGAAUUUGAGGUGUAAAUCCCUUAGAAUUCGACUAGGAUAAGGAUUUCUAGGACUUAUCUUAUGGUUGCUUGGUGGACAAGCAACUAGAUAAGGAUAAGGACUAAAACCCUAAUCUUUACACCUAUAUAAACCCCCUAGGGCUUAGGAAUUCGUCUAACCCUUCCCAAGAGGUCCUAAGGACGAAUUCUAACCUCCCUCCUCUCUCUUUAUACCUUCUCCACUUGCUUAUGGUGUUUGUAAGCCAUUAGAGGAGUGACACUUGUGACUCUCAGCUUUCCAAGGUCAAUUCAAGGAGGAAUUGGAUUGUUAUUGCUAUAUAACAAUCAAGGUAUGUUCUUAAACCUAAUUACAUGUGAAUUCUGAUUUCCAUAUGCUAGAAUUAGGGUUCAAAGUCUUGGAUUCAAAGUAUGUACAAUAGAGAAACCUAGAUCCAAGCUUUAGGGUUUGUAUGAGCACAUAGGAUGUCUUAUGACCAAAACCCAUCAGUGGUAUCAGAGCCAUGAUUGGUUUCUAUUGUAUUGAUGCUUGAUGUAACUGAAAAUCGUGUUUUGGCCUCACUGUUCGACCUGACUCGGCGAGUCAGCCCUACUCGGCGAGUUCCAGAGGGUGACUCGGCGAGUCGGUGCGUCAGAUAGUGCUUAUCUCGGGAUUUCUUGCUGUUUUUGCAUUGGGAUAAUUACCUUAUCAUGUUAGAUUAAUAUUAAUCCGAUUAUAUGAUAUAUUUGACUAUAUUUUUAAUCUAAUUGAAGAUAUUUAUCAAUUAAUAAGAUAAUUGUUUCCUUAUAAGAUAAUUGAUUAAUUAUUUUAAGUAAAUUGAUAAAUUAUUUUGCAAGAAAUCAUCAAAUAUGGAUAAUUAUGUGAUUAAAUGUUAAUUUGAAUUAUUUGUUAUUUGAUCCUUGUUGUUGUGAAAAGUUUCAUAUUUGGCCCUUUAGGUUUUAUAGUUUAAAUUUGAACCCCAAAAGUUUUGUUGUUUUGAAAUUUAAAUAGUUGAAACCCUAAUGUUUUGAAAAAGGUUUCAAAACUUGCCCUCAAGUUUUGGAAUUUAAAUUUUGAUUAAAUAGUUUAAUUUUGAUGCAUAUUUAAAUUCUAAACCCUAAUGUGUUGAAAUGUUUCAAAACUUGCCCUCAAGUUUUGGAAUUUAAAAGUUGAUUAAAAGUUUAAUUAGGAAUGUUAAAUUCUAAAACUCUAGUAUAGUUUUGAAAAAGUUCAAAUCACACCCUUAUGGUUUUAUUAAUUAAUUAAGGUGUAUAAUUAAAAGAGGUUUAAUAAAUCCAUAAAAGUUUAGGUUUACAAUUUAAUUGAAUUAAAAGUAUAAUUGUUAAAUUAGACCACCUAGUAUUUUAAAAGUAUAAAAUACACCCUAUACUAUAUAUAACAUUAAAAGUCUAACAUUAUAUAUAUGUAUGAGUAAAAGUCAGUCUUACCGUUAGUAGGCCUCAUUCACGAAGCUGGUCUAUAAGGGGUGUUUAAGGAAAUUGCCUAUAAAAUGGCGAUUGAAUGGGUAUCCACUCUUACCCACCGCACUCUUGACUAGUGGAGGGUCGUUAGCCGAACGGGUAGGAUAGGACGAAACCUUCCAUUAUAAGUAUAAUGAAUUAUUAAAGUAACUAAAUGUUUUCAUAAAAUUCCCAAUCUUAGUUACUUAGGCAAAAGUGAAUUGAUGCAAUUCCAUGAAAUUACACUUUGUGCCCUUGCGAAGACGUUAGUGGAGCGUGUGUGGUUAACCGGCACACUAAAUGGUUCUAAGCAAAGGUAGCAAAGGGUGACUCAAUGUUUGUCAUAGUUCGGUGGAGCGUGUGUGGUUUACCGGCACAUCGAAUAGGUGACUGUAACAUGUGAGGGCACCAUGUAAGUUUGCAUGGUUAUUCACACCCGCUUUGUGAUCCUCGGCAUCCCAGUCACAAACAAGAGGGGCAUAUCGAGAUUUAAACAUGCCAUUGAAAGUUCAAUGAAUCUCAAAGGAUCUAGGAGUUUUCAUAGAUUUAAAACUUAAAUUUCUUUUUCGUUUUUCAUGGUGGAAAUUAGUGAAUCGUCAUUCACUUACCUUCAAAUAUUCUGCAAUUAGGGUUACGGCAUCCCUCUCCCGAGUUGUAGAAUAUUGUGUUGGGUCCUAGCCUUAGUAUCUCAUUUGGGUGAUUUACUAAGGACUCAAUCAAUCAACUAACUUGAAUUCGUUUUCUCCCGUUUUGUAGAUGUCAAAGUUCGACAACUAUGGUCUUCCCAAAUCCCGUGGAACAAGCAUUCCACAUGAAGAUGAUAUUCCACGAUUCGAUCGAGGAACAAGAAAUCAUGCUUCACUUCCUCCUCCUCCUCCAAUUAUUCUCCCUAACCCACAAGUUCAAAGGCUUGAAAAGUUCAAGAUCACUCAAGCCCUUUUGGCAAGUAAACAUAAAGAAGGAAAGUCGGUGUGUGCACACGUCCUAGGGAUGAAGUCACACAUUGAUAGGUUAAGAAUGUUGGGAUCCGUUGUCUGUGAGGAAAUGGCUGUUGAUUGGGUUCUUCAGUCACUUCCUAACUCAUAUAGUGAGUUCGUAAGAGAGUACUAUAUGAUGAACCGCGACGUGACCCUUAUAGAUCUCACCUAUAUGCUUAUUGCUGCUGAAUCAGCAAUGGUUUGGCGCAAUAGAAAAGCAAAGUUGAUUGGUGAAUCUGCCUUCAAGACCUCUAUGGAUAUAGACAAUGGCAACGAAAGACAUGCUAUGAUCGAAAAGUUUGAUCAUAAGAGAAAGGCAAUGUCUGAAGUAGUUCCAUGUCAUGUUCCAAAAGAGUCAAUUUGCUUUUAUUGCCAAGAGAAAGGGCAUUGGAGACGAAGCUGCCCCAUUUACCUAAGAGAUCUAAGAGAUGGGAGAGUCGAAACGUAUGGCUCUAAUAUAGGUAAAAUCCAUUAACUAACUCUUUUAAGCUUCUAUUCUAGAUUCUUAAUACAUAAUGUGAUAAGAUUACAAUUGAUGUUUUGUAGGAUCGAAGAAAAGAAAGGAAGCUUAAGGGAAGAAGUGAGCAGAAUCUAACCGUGAAGGAAUGGAUUUCGAUCGCAUUUCUCGAAGAUUAGAUUCUUGAGCUACUACUUAGAGUUAGAAUUAGAUUGCUAAGAAAGAUGUAUUAGCAUAGUUUUUCAAUGAAUUGCAUUGUAAGGACAAAUUUUUUCCGCAAUAAAAUAAAUUUUGAUUUUAUAUUAUUUAUUUAUCCUUGCAAUGGCGUAUAUGAAAAAUUGAUGUUUGAAUGUUUCUAUUAUUAGCAAUAAUGGAUUUGGUUCUUAUUAUGUUAUUUAUGGAAAGUCGAGAGUUUACCAAAUAGGGAGAGUUUCUCAUCGCCCAAGUUUCAAUUGGACAGAAACUUGGAAUCAUGCAACUUGGUUGCACGAUGAAUGAGAAAUUUCAUAUUUGGAAAUUAGACUAAUUCAUUGACAAAGUGUCAAGUGAAGGACUAGGAGAUCGAGUACACAAAGUUGCGUGUUGAUCAAGUCCACCAUAAGAGUAACAAAGAUAUUCGUCAUGAUUUACUAAAGGUUUAGUAAAUAUGAUUAUACUUAUAAGAUUAAGUGUAAUUCUGAAUUGAUUGAAAAAGUUUAAAUCAAUAGCAGAACGAAUAAGAAGAAUCAAGUAGGCAGAAAGAUAAAAGUUUCUCCAUUCUAAGAAGAAGGGAGAGUACCUUUUAUGCUUUAUGAUAGGUCUUAAUGAUUAAGAACCAUAUCUCAAUUGAUCCUCUAAGUGAGUCUUAGUACAAUUGUAUGUCUAAGAAGAGGAAUCAAGAAUUGAAGAAAUGGUUAAAUCAAGAAGUCAAUCAUACUUCGUUCCAAAACAAGUCUUAGAGUUAAGAUUGUGACAUUGAGUGAAAAGUAUUAAGAAGGUUUAUAACAUUCAUCAAAUGUGGAAAGUUGUGAUGUCUUGGAUAAGACAAAGACCAACUAGGACCAAUUUAUGAAGUGUUUUGAUAAAAACUACACUAACUCUUGAAUAUUUGUUUGUCAAGAAAUGUUUAUUGACAAGAGAAUCUUAUAUGUCAAGGAGUCAGUGGGAGUCUUAAUGGUCUUGAAAGGUUUCAAGAACAAAUCAAAUAAACCUUAUCGAUCAUCACUAGCACACGAGUUGAGGUUUACAACCUAUCGUGUUGACAUUAUUUUGUUUCUGUGCCAAUCCAAUCGAGUUAAUUAUGCAUGUGAGUUCUAUGAGUUCUCAUUUUGAACGCAUAAAAGGCAAAGCACCUUAAUCAAUGAAAGGUACAUUGAUAGGAAAGGGUGAGCUGCUUAACUACUUGGAAGACAUGGUGGGCAGCUGUGCUACCAUAAGGCAAGAAAUCAAGAUUAAGAAAGUUCGGUCCAUAUGAGUUUGAAUUUGUCGUAAACUUUGGUUUUAACAAAUUCACAUGGAUAGGAACACAUACACC